Molecule: ribosomal RNA, 449 nt
Filed under: uncultured bacterium
Lineage: Bacteria
Description: partial 16S ribosomal RNA
Rfam family: Bacterial small subunit ribosomal RNA
Source: RNAcentral
AACGAACGCUGGCGGCAGGCCUAACACAUGCAAGUCGAACGCUGUAGCAAUACAGAGUGGCAGACGGGUGAGUAACGCGUGGGAACGUGCCCUUCGGUUCGGGAUAACUCAGGGAAACUUGAGCUAAUACCGGAUACGCCCUUUGGGGGAAAGAUUUAUUGCCGAAGGAUCGGCCCGCGUCCGAUUAGCUAGUUGGUGAGGUAAAGGCUCACCAAGGCGACGAUCGGUAGCUGGUCUGAGAGGAUGAUCAGCCACACUGGGACUGAGACACGGCCCAGACUCCUACGGGAGGCAGCAGUGGGGAAUAUUGGACAAUGGGCGCAAGCCUGAUCCAGCCAUGCCGCGUGAGUGAUGAAGGCCCUAGGGUUGUAAAGCUCUUUCGCCAGGGACGAUAAUGACGGUACCUGGAUAAGAAGCCCCGGCUAACUUCGUGCCAGCCGCCGCAGUAA